Molecule: ribosomal RNA, 164 nt
Filed under: uncultured Pseudomonas sp.
Lineage: Bacteria; Pseudomonadati; Pseudomonadota; Gammaproteobacteria; Pseudomonadales; Pseudomonadaceae
Description: partial 16S ribosomal RNA
Rfam family: Bacterial small subunit ribosomal RNA
Source: RNAcentral
CCAUCCAGAACGAGCUGAUCAGCCAUGCCGCGUGUGUGAAGAAGGUCUUCGGAUUGUAAAGCACUUUAAGUUGGGAGGAAGGGUUGUAGGCUAAUAUCCUGCAAUUUUGACGUUACCAACAGAAUAAGCACCGGCUAACUUCGUGCCAGCAGCCGCGGUAAUUA